AGUGAACGCUGGCGGCGUGCCUAAUACAUGCAAGUCGAACGGAGAUUAAGUAGCUUGCUAUUUAAUCUUAGUGGCGCACGGGUGAGUAAUAUAUAGCUAACUUGCCCAUUACUAAGGGACAACAGUUGGAAACGACUGCUAAUACCUUAUACUCCGUAUCUAUAUAAGUAGAUACGGGAAAGUUUUUCGGUAAUGGAUAGGGCUAUAUCGUAUCAGCUAGUUGGUAAGGUAAUGGCUUACCAAGGCUAUGACGCGUAACUGGUCGGAGAGGAUGAUCAGUCACACUGGAACUGAGACACGGUCCAGACUCCUACGGGAGGCAGCAGUAGGGAAUAUUGCUCCAUUGGGGAAACCCUGAAGCAGCAACGCCGCGUGGAGGAUGACACUUUUCGGAGCGUAAACUCCUUUUCUUGGGAAAGAAUUAUGACGGUACCCAAGGAAUAAGCACCGGCUAACUCCGUG
This 462-nucleotide ribosomal RNA is filed under the name uncultured bacterium. RNAcentral's name for it is "partial 16S ribosomal RNA". It matches the Rfam family "Bacterial small subunit ribosomal RNA", at positions 29 to 507 of the family's 1533-position model. The record is from RNAcentral.